CCCUGCCAUUUGUACACACCGCCCGUCGCUACUACCGAUUGAAUGGCUUAGUGAGGUCUUCGGAUCGGCUUUGGGGAGCCGGCAACGGCACCUCAUUGCUGAGAAGUUGAUCAAACUUGGUCAUUUAGAGGAAGUAAAAGUCGUAACAAG
Molecule: ribosomal RNA, 150 nt
Filed under: uncultured eukaryote
Lineage: Eukaryota
Description: partial small subunit ribosomal RNA
Rfam family: Eukaryotic small subunit ribosomal RNA
Source: RNAcentral